Molecule: ribosomal RNA, 477 nt
Filed under: uncultured bacterium
Lineage: Bacteria
Description: partial 16S ribosomal RNA
Rfam family: Bacterial small subunit ribosomal RNA
Source: RNAcentral
AUUGAACGCUGGCGGCAUGCCUUACACAUGCAAGUCGAACGGUAACAGGUUAAGCUGACGAGUGGCGAACGGGUGAGUAAUGUAUCGGAACGUGCCCAGUCGUGGGGGAUAACUGCUCGAAAGAGCAGCUAAUACCGCAUACGACCUGAGGGUGAAAGCGGGGGAUCGCAAGGCCUCGCGCGAUUGGAGCGGCCGAUAUCAGAUUAGGUAGUUGGUGAGGUAAAGGCUCACCAAGCCGACGAUCUGUAGCUGGUCUGAGAGGACGACCAGCCACACUGGGACUGAGACACGGCCCAGACUCCUACGGGAGGCAGCAGUGGGGAAUUUUGGACAAUGGGCGCAAGCCUGAUCCAGCCAUGCCGCGUGCGGGAAGAAGGCCUUCGGGUUGUAAACCGCUUUUGUCAGGGAAGAAAAGGUUCUGGCUAAUACCUGGGACUCAUGACGGUACCUGAAGAAUAAGCACCGGCUAACUACGUG